AGAGGCUUAUGCAGAAAUUUCCUGCCUUUAUGAAACUCCACAAUAUUCUGCUCCCCAAAAGUUAAAGAAUCAGUGCUUUUUUCUGCCAAGAAAGUAAGAACUUGUAGUUUGUGUCUCCACAGCUUCUGAUUAAGGCGAGGAUGCUGGUCAGCAAGGAAGCACCUUGGAGGUGCCAAGAACUCUUCGUAGAUGGUCCCUUUGUGGAGCAGUGAUGGAUUCGAGAAGGCUGUGAGAACAACACCACAGACUCAGGGGCUGAUGAACAAGAUGGCACCUGCCGUCUGCCAGACCCUGUGCUGGAUACAGUAGUGAGCAGGCAGCAGUCAGAGCCCAUCCUCACGGAGCCAAGUGGGGAAGCCACGUGAGUCAGGAUGAUCCGAGAAGGCUUGUCUCAGGAGUUAACUGGAUCAAAGGACUUUCUGGGGCCACAGGGUUAUUAUCAAGCAUCCAGGAAAUCCUCUGCUGAGCCAGCCCUGAAGGUAGUCCGGACAAUGUGUACCUACUAGGCCCUGGUAAAUAUUUAUUAAAUGAAUGAAUGAAUGAGCCACCUCAUAUAUUUCAAAUUAUGUAAAUACCAUUGAAUUUAUAUUAACUAUUGCUGUAUAAUAAACUACUCCUAAACGUAAUGGCUUAAAACA
Molecule: long non-coding RNA, 638 nt
Filed under: Sus scrofa (pig)
Lineage: Eukaryota; Metazoa; Chordata; Mammalia; Artiodactyla; Suidae
Description: lncRNA (ENSSSCG00055013393.1)
Source: RNAcentral